This 253-nucleotide ribosomal RNA is filed under the name uncultured bacterium. RNAcentral describes it as "partial 16S ribosomal RNA". It matches the Rfam family "Bacterial small subunit ribosomal RNA", at positions 524 to 776 of the family's 1533-position model. The record is from RNAcentral.
UACGAAGGGGGCUAGCGUUGCUCGGAAUUACUGGGCGUAAAGCGCACGUAGGCGGCUUUCUAAGUCGGGGGUGAAAUCCUGGAGCUCAACUCCAGAACUGCCUUCGAUGCUGGAAAGCUCGAGUCCGGGAGAGGUGAGUGGAACUGCGAGUGUAGAGGUGAAAUUCGUAGAUAUUCGCAAGAACACCAGUGGCGAAGGCGGCUCACUGGCCCGGUACUGACGCUGAGGUGCGAAAGCGUGGGGAGCAAACAGG